RNAcentral lists this ribosomal RNA (509 nucleotides) under uncultured bacterium. Its description in RNAcentral is "bacterial SSU rRNA". It matches the Rfam family "Bacterial small subunit ribosomal RNA", at positions 975 to 1482 of the family's 1533-position model. The record is from RNAcentral.
CAGCCCUUGACAUCCCGGUCGCGGAGACCAGAGACGGUCUCCUUCAGUUCGGCUGGACCGGAGACAGGUGCUGCAUGGCUGUCGUCAGCUCGUGUCGUGAGAUGUUGGGUUAAGUCCCGCAACGAGCGCAACCCUCGGCCUUAGUUGCCAUCAUUUAGUUGGGCACUCUAAGGCGACUGCCGGUGAUAAGCCGGAGGAAGGUGGGGAUGACGUCAAGUCCUCAUGGCCCUUACGGGCUGGGCUACACACGUGCUACAAUGGCGGUGACAGAGGGACGCAAAAGGGCGACCUUUCGCAAAUCUCCAAAAGCCGUCUCAGUUCGGAUUGGGGUCUGCAACUCGACCCCAUGAAGUUGGAAUCGCUAGUAAUCGCAGAUCAGCACGCUGCGGUGAAUACGUUCCCGGGCCUUGUACACACCGCCCGUCACACCAUGGGAGUUGGCUUUACCUGAAGACGGUGCGCUAACCGCAAGGAGGCAGCCGGCCACGGUAGGGUCAGCGACUGGGGUG